GACGAACGCUGGCGGCGUGCCUAAUACAUGCAAGUAGAACGCUGAAGAGAGGAGCUUGCUCUUCUUGGAUGAGUUGCGAACGGGUGAGUAACGCGUAGGUAACCUGCCUUGUAGCGGGGGAUAACUAUUGGAAACGAUAGCUAAUACCGCAUAACAAUAGGUGACACAUGUCAUUUAUUUGAAAGGGGCAAUUGCUCCACUACAAGAUGGACCUGCGUUGUAUUAGCUAGUAGGUGAGGUAACGGCUCACCUAGGCGACGAUACAUAGCCGACCUGAGAGGGUGAUCGGCCACACUGGGACUGAGACACGGCCCAGACUCCUACGGGAGGCAGCAGUAGGGAAUCUUCGGCAAUGGGGGCAACCCUGACCGAGCAACGCCGCGUGAGUGAAGAAGGUUGUCGGAUCGUAAAGCUCUGUUGUAAGUCAAGAACGAGUGUGAGAGUGGAAAGUUCACAAUGUGACGGUAGCUUACCAGAAAGGGACGGCUAACUACGUG
This 497-nucleotide ribosomal RNA is filed under the name uncultured bacterium. Its description in RNAcentral is "partial 16S ribosomal RNA". It matches the Rfam family "Bacterial small subunit ribosomal RNA", at positions 28 to 507 of the family's 1533-position model. The record is from RNAcentral.